GACGAACGCUGGCGGCGUGCUUAACACAUGCAAGUCGAACGGUGAAGCGCCUUCCUUUUUGGUGGGUGUGGAUGAGUGGCGAACGGGUGAGUAACACGUGAGUAACCUGCCCCCUUCUUCUGGAUAACCGCAUGAAAGUGUGGCUAAUACGGGAUAUUCUGGGUCUGUCGCAUGAUGGGUCUGGGAAAGAUAUUGUUUCGGUGGGGGAUGGGCUCGCGGCCUAUCAGCUUGUUGGUGGGGUGAUGGCCUACCAAGGCGGUGACGGGUAGCCGGCCUGAGAGGGUGGACGGUCACACUGGGACUGAGACACGGCCCAGACUCCUACGGGAGGCAGCAGUGGGGAAUAUUGCACAAUGGGAGCAAGCCUGAUGCAGCGACGCCGCGUGAGGGAUGGAGGCCUGCGGGUUGUGAACCUCUUUCGCCAGUGAAGCAGGCCUGCCUCGUUUGUGGGUGGGUUGACGGUAGCUGGAUAAGAAGCGCCGGCUAACUACGUG
RNAcentral lists this ribosomal RNA (494 nucleotides) under uncultured bacterium. RNAcentral's name for it is "partial 16S ribosomal RNA". It matches the Rfam family "Bacterial small subunit ribosomal RNA", at positions 28 to 507 of the family's 1533-position model. The record is from RNAcentral.